This 490-nucleotide ribosomal RNA is filed under the name uncultured bacterium. RNAcentral describes it as "partial 16S ribosomal RNA". It matches the Rfam family "Bacterial small subunit ribosomal RNA", at positions 30 to 507 of the family's 1533-position model. The record is from RNAcentral.
AUUGAACGCUGGCGGCAGGCCUAACACAUGCAAGUCGAACGGUAACAGGAAGAAGCUUGCUUCUUUGCUUACGAGGGGCGGACGGGUGAGUCAUGUCUGGGAAACUGCUUGAUGGAGGGGGAUAACUACUGGAAACGGUAGCUAAUACCGCAUAACGUCUCAAGACCAAAGAGGGGGACUUUCGGGCCGCCUUCCAUCGGAUGUGCCCAGAUGGGAUUAGCUAGUAGGUGGGGUAACGGCUCACCUAGGCGACGAUCCCUAGCUGGUCUGAGAGGAUGACCCGCCACACUGGAACUGAGACACGGUCCAGACUCCUACGGGAGGCAGCAGUGGGGAAUAUUGCACAAUGGGCGCAAGCCUGAUGCAGCCAUGCCGCGUGUAUGAAGAAGGCCUUCGGGUUGUAAAGUACUUUCAGCGGGGAGGAAGGGAGUAAAGUUAAUACCUUUGCUCAUUGACGUUACCCGCAGAAGAAGCCCCGGCUAACUCCGUG